AUGGCAGCCAUGGCCACCACCGCUUCCAGCCUCCUCAAGACCUCCUUCUCCGGCGUCCGCCUCCCGGCGGCGGCCCGCACCCCGUCCUGCGUCGCCACCCCGCGCGCCGGCGCCAUCUGCAACUCCAUCUCCUCCUCCACCCCUCCCUACGACCUCAACGCCUUCAAGUUCAGCCCCAUCAAGGAGUCCAUCGUGUCCCGCGAGAUGACCCGCCGCUACAUGACCGACAUGAUCACCUACGCCGACACCGACGUUGUCAUCGUCGGCGCCGGCUCCGCGGGGCUGUCCUGCGCGUACGAGCUCUCCAAGGACCCCUCCAUCAGCAUCGCCAUCAUCGAGCAGUCCGUGUCCCCCGGCGGCGGCGCCUGGCUCGGCGGCCAGCUCUUCUCCGCCAUGGUCGUGCGCAAGCCGGCGCACCUCUUCCUCGACGAGCUCAACAUCGAGUACGACGAGCAGGAGGACUACGUCGUCAUCAAGCACGCCGCGCUCUUCACCUCCACGGUCAUGAGCCGCCUCCUCGCGCGCCCCAACGUGAAGCUCUUCAACGCCGUCGCCGUGGAGGACCUCAUCGUCAAGGAGAACCGCGUUGCCGGCGUCGUCACCAACUGGGCGCUCGUCUCCAUGAACCACGACACACAGUCCUGCAUGGACCCCAACGUCAUGGAGGCCAAGGUCGUGGUGAGCUCCUGCGGCCACGACGGGCCCUUCGGCGCCACCGGGGUCAAGCGGCUCCAAGACAUCGGCAUGAUCCAGGCGGUGCCCGGGAUGAAGGCGCUCGACAUGAACACCGCCGAGGAUGCCAUCGUGCGCCUCACCCGCGAGGUGGUCCCCGGCAUGAUUGUCACCGGCAUGGAGGUCGCCGAGAUCGACGGCGCCCCGAGAAUGGGCCCGACCUUCGGCGCCAUGAUGAUCUCCGGCCAGAAGGCGGCGCACCUGGCGCUCAAGGCCCUCGGCCGGCCGAACGGCAUCGACGGGACGCUCAAGAACGUGACCCCGGCGCUGCACCCGGAGAUGAUCCUGGCGGCGACCAACAACGGCGACAUCGUGGACGCCUAA
This 1056-nucleotide ribosomal RNA is filed under the name Triticum aestivum (bread wheat). RNAcentral's name for it is "partial small subunit ribosomal RNA". The record is from RNAcentral. Lineage: Eukaryota; Viridiplantae; Streptophyta; Magnoliopsida; Poales; Poaceae.